CCUACGGGUGGCAGCAGUGGGGAAUAUUGCGCAAUGGGCGAAAGCCUGACGCAGCGACGCCGCGUGAGGGAUGAAGGUCUUCGGAUCGUAAACCUCUGUCAGCAGGGAAGAACGGUCACUGUGCUAAUCAGCAGUGAAUUGACGGUACCUGCAAAGGAAGCACCGGCUAACUCCGUGCCAGCAGCCGCGGUAAUACGGAGGGUGCGAGCGUUAAUCGGAAUUACUGGGCGUAAAGCGCUCGUAGGCGGUAUGUCAAGUCAAGGGUGAAAUCCCCGCGCUCAACGUGGGAACUGCCCUUGGAACUGUGCGGCUAGAGUGCGGGAGGGGCAGGCGGAAUUCCUGGUGUAGCGGUGAAAUGCGUAGAUAUCAGGAGGAACACCGGCGGCGAAGGCGGCCUGCUGGACCGCGACUGACGUUGAGGCUCGAAAGCGUGGGGAGCGAACAGGAUUAGAUACCCCAGUAGUC
This 465-nucleotide ribosomal RNA is filed under the name uncultured bacterium. RNAcentral's name for it is "partial 16S ribosomal RNA". It matches the Rfam family "Bacterial small subunit ribosomal RNA", at positions 338 to 795 of the family's 1533-position model. The record is from RNAcentral.